RNAcentral lists this ribosomal RNA (326 nucleotides) under uncultured bacterium. RNAcentral's name for it is "bacterial SSU rRNA". It matches the Rfam family "Bacterial small subunit ribosomal RNA", at positions 30 to 336 of the family's 1533-position model. The record is from RNAcentral.
AGUGAACGCUGGCGGCAGGCCUAACACAUGCAAGUCGAGCGGCAGCGGGGUCCCCGCGAGGGGAGUGCCGGCGAGCGGCGGACGGGUGAGGAACACAUCGGAAUCUGCCUGGUUGUGGGGGAGUAACGUAGGGAAACUUACGCUAAUACCGCAUGCGACCCUGAGUCGACGGACUUGGGGUGAAAGUGAGGGACCUUCGGCCUCACGCGACCAGAUGAGCCGAUGUCGGAUUAGCUAGUUGGCGGGGUAACGGCCCGCCAAGGCGACGAUCCGUAGCUGGUCUGAGAGGAUGAUCAGCCACACUGGGACUGAGACACGGCCCAGAC